This 253-nucleotide ribosomal RNA is filed under the name uncultured bacterium. Its description in RNAcentral is "partial 16S ribosomal RNA". It matches the Rfam family "Bacterial small subunit ribosomal RNA", at positions 524 to 776 of the family's 1533-position model. The record is from RNAcentral.
UACGUAGGGGGCAAGCGUUGUCCGGAAUCAUUGGGCGUAAAGCGCGCGCAGGCGGUCCUUUAAGUCUGAUGUGAAAGCCCACGGCUCAACCGUGGAGGGUCAUUGGAAACUGGGGGACUUGAGUGCAGGAGAGAAGAGUGGAAUUCCACGUGUAGCGGUGAAAUGCGUAGAGAUGUGGAGGAACACCAGUGGCGAAGGCGACUCUUUGGCCUGUAACUGACGCUGAGGCGCGAAAGCGUGGGGAGCAAACAGG